Small nuclear RNA from Gorilla gorilla gorilla (western lowland gorilla), 191 nucleotides. It matches the Rfam family "U2 spliceosomal RNA". Rfam says of the family: U2 is a small nuclear RNA (snRNA) component of the spliceosome (involved in pre-mRNA splicing). Complementary binding between U2 snRNA (in an area lying towards the 5' end but 3' to hairpin I) and the branchpoint sequence (BPS) of the intron results the bulging out of an unpaired adenosine, on the BPS, which initiates a nucleophilic attack at the intronic 5' splice site, thus starting the first of two transesterification reactions that mediate splicing. NCBI's taxonomy places the organism in Eukaryota, Metazoa, Chordata, Mammalia, Primates, Hominidae. The record is from Rfam.
AUCAUUUCUCAGCCUUUUGGCAAGACCAAGUGUAGUAUCUGUUCUUAUCAGAUAUUGGUAUCUGCAGGCACUCCUGGAACAAAUCCCCCCACGGGAUAUGGGAUAUGGAGAGACAACUGUACUUGUUUCCAUAUCUGCUUAUCUCAACCAGAGGACCUUGUACAGUACCAGAACCCAAUAGGUCUUUGACU